RNAcentral lists this ribosomal RNA (279 nucleotides) under uncultured bacterium. RNAcentral's name for it is "partial 16S ribosomal RNA". It matches the Rfam family "Bacterial small subunit ribosomal RNA", at positions 506 to 784 of the family's 1533-position model. The record is from RNAcentral.
UGCCAGCCGCCGCGGUAAUACGAAGGGUGCUAGCGUUGUUCGGAAUUACUGGGCGUAAAGAGCAUGUAGGCGGAUGAAUUAGUCAGAGGUGAAAGCCCCGAGCUCAACUUGGGAACUGCCUUUGAUACUGUUUAUCUAGAGUCCGAGAGAGGUUAGUGGAAUUCCCAGUGUAGAGGUGAAAUUCGUAGAUAUCAGGAGGAACACCCGUGGCGAAAGCGGCUCUCUGGCCCGAUAUUGACGCUCAUGUGCGAAAGCGUGGGGAGCAAACAGGAUUAGAUA